AGCUCCAAUAGCGUAUAUUAAAGUUGUUGCAGUUAAAAAGCUCGUAGUUGGAUCUCGGGUCCAGGCUUGCGGUUCGUUUCGCGACGAUACUGCUCGUCCUGACCUACCUCCCGGUUUUCCCCCGGUGCUCUUCACUGAGUGCCUCGGGUGGCCGGAACGUUUACUUUGAAAAAAUUAGAGUGCUCAAAGCAGGCAGUCUGCCUGAAUAACCGCGCAUGGAAUAAUGGAAUAGGACCUCGGUUCUAUUUUGUUGGUUUUCGGAACUUGAGGUAAUGAUUAAGAGGGACAGACGGGGGCAUUCGUAUUACGGUGUUAGAGGUGAAAUUCUUGGAUCGCCGUAAGACGAACUACUGCGAAAGCAUUUGCCAAGAAUGUUUUCA
RNAcentral lists this ribosomal RNA (380 nucleotides) under marine Metazoa environmental sample. RNAcentral's name for it is "SSU rRNA". It matches the Rfam family "Eukaryotic small subunit ribosomal RNA", at positions 587 to 972 of the family's 1831-position model. The record is from RNAcentral. Lineage: Eukaryota; Metazoa.